GUGCUGACUUUGGCAGCACAUAUUCUAAAAUUUGAAGGACAUGGAGAAGAUUAGCAUGGCUCCUGUACAAGGAUGACACAUAAAUUCAUAUUUUGACAUAUAC
This 103-nucleotide small nuclear RNA is filed under the name Peromyscus maniculatus bairdii (prairie deer mouse). The record is from RNAcentral. Lineage: Eukaryota; Metazoa; Chordata; Mammalia; Rodentia; Cricetidae.